GGGCUCCUGACUCCAGGUCCUGUGUGUUACCUCGAAAUAGCACUGGACUUGGAGUCAGAAGGCCU
This 65-nucleotide microRNA precursor is filed under the name Dipodomys ordii (Ord's kangaroo rat). Its description in RNAcentral is "mir-378 microRNA precursor family". It matches the Rfam family "mir-378 microRNA precursor family". RNAcentral also lists the same sequence under 1 other name. The record is from Rfam by way of RNAcentral. Lineage: Eukaryota; Metazoa; Chordata; Mammalia; Rodentia; Heteromyidae.